GGCCGGCUGGCGUAAUGGUAACGCGUCCGUUUCCGGUUCACUGGAAAUCUAACUUGCGGAAGAUUUGCAGGUUCGAGUCCUGCGUCGGUCG
Onygenales sp. PD_40 is the source of this 91-nucleotide non-coding RNA. Lineage: Eukaryota; Fungi; Ascomycota; Eurotiomycetes; Onygenales. The record is from the annotation of a GenBank genome assembly.